RNAcentral lists this long non-coding RNA (491 nucleotides) under Equus caballus (horse). RNAcentral's name for it is "lncRNA (ENSECAG00000050206.1)". The record is from RNAcentral. Lineage: Eukaryota; Metazoa; Chordata; Mammalia; Perissodactyla; Equidae.
GAAAAUUUGGGUGAAGGACUUCCCAUUCCACAGAGGAUUUGAAGGCUCACCUUAGAAGCGGGGGCCUGGGGGUGGUGCUGGAGACGACGCUCUGACAGGAAUGAGAAGAUGGGGGUCAAAAAUGGCUGGAUAUUGUCAGUUUGAUACAGUCUGGCUCUUCCUAUGCAUGGAGCUCCUAUCACAUGCCAGGCACAAUGGCCCCUCUCCUACCAUUGUCAAACCCUGGUAGCUGGACAUAGUUCUACUGGUAAACACCCCAGCCCAGCCCAGACUGUCGGAGCCAACCCUGGUCCUUCGCUGGGGGCGUACAGCAGUGUUCUUGGCUGGUCCUGCUUCGAGGCCUUCAGACAUCGUGCCAGGCUCUGUGCUAACAGUCACACGAGUUGAGCAUUACGCCCCUAUUUUACAGACAUGGGAACUGAGGCUCCUACCCAAGGUCAUGCAGGGAGGACUCAAACCCAAGCCUGGUGGACUUUAAACCUGGACGACAG